This 467-nucleotide ribosomal RNA is filed under the name uncultured bacterium. Its description in RNAcentral is "bacterial SSU rRNA". It matches the Rfam family "Bacterial small subunit ribosomal RNA", at positions 10 to 523 of the family's 1533-position model. The record is from RNAcentral.
AGUUUGAUCCUGGCUCAGAACGAACGCUGGCGGCAUGCCUAACACAUGCAAGUCGAACGAUGCUUUCGGGCAUAGUGGCGCACGGGUGCGUAACGCGUGGGAAUCUGCCCUUGGGUCUGGGAUAACAGUUGGAAACGACUGCUAAUACCGGAUGAUAUCGCGAGAUCAAAGAUUUAUCGCCCGAGGAUGAGCCCGCGUCAGAUUAGCUAGUUGGUGGGGUAAAGGCCUACCAAGGCGACGAUCUGUAGCUGGUCUGAGAGGAUGAUCAGCCACACUGGGACUGAGACACGGCCCAGACUCCUACGGGAGGCAGCAGUGGGGAAUAUUGGACAAUGGGCGAAAGCCUGAUCCAGCAAUGCCGCGUGAGUGAUGAAGGCCUUAGGGUUGUAAAGCUCUUUUACCCGUGAUGAUAAUGACAGUAGCGGGAGAAUAAGCCCCGGCUAACUCCGUGCCAGCAGCCGCGGUAA